GCCCCAGUGUUGAAAUCGGCAGACAAAUCGGACUUAAAAUCCGGUGCCUUCGGGCGUGUGGGUUCGAGUCCCACCUGGGGUA
RNAcentral lists this transfer RNA (82 nucleotides) under Patescibacteria group bacterium. Its description in RNAcentral is "tRNA-Leu". It matches the Rfam family "tRNA". Rfam says of the family: Transfer RNA (tRNA) molecules are approximately 80 nucleotides in length. The record is from RNAcentral.